GACGAACGCUGGCGGCGUGCUUAACACAUGCAAGUCGAGCGGUAAGGCCCUUUCGGGGGUACACGAGCGGCGAACGGGUGAGUAACACGUGGGUGACCAGCCCUCAGCUCUGGGAUAAGCCUGGGAAACCGGGUCUAAUACUGGAUAUGACUCCAUGACGCAUGUUGUGGGGUGGAAAGCCUUGUGCGGCUGAGGAUGGGCCCGCGGCCUAUCAGCUUGUUGGUGGGGUGANGGCCUACCAAGGCGACGACGGGUAGCCGGCCUGAGAGGGCGACCGGCCACACUGGGACUGAGACACGGCCCAGACUCCUACGGGAGGCAGCAGUGGGGAAUCUUGCGCAAUGGGCGAAAGCCUGACGCAGCGACGCCGCGUGAGGGAUGACGGCCU
Molecule: ribosomal RNA, 388 nt
Filed under: uncultured bacterium
Lineage: Bacteria
Description: bacterial SSU rRNA
Rfam family: Bacterial small subunit ribosomal RNA
Source: RNAcentral